Molecule: ribosomal RNA, 428 nt
Filed under: uncultured bacterium
Lineage: Bacteria
Description: bacterial SSU rRNA
Rfam family: Bacterial small subunit ribosomal RNA
Source: RNAcentral
GGAAACCCUGACGCAGCGACGCCGCGUGGAUGAUGAAGGCCCUUGGGUCGUAAAAUCCUGUCAGUUGGGAAGAAAUGCAUAUUGGCUAAUACCCAUUAUGUUUGACGGUACCAGCAAAGGAAGCACCGGCUAACUCCGUGCCAGCAGCCGCGGUAAUACGGAGGGUGCAAGCGUUGUUCGGAAUUACUGGGCGUAAAGCGCACGUAGGUGGUCUAUUAAGUCAGAUGUGAAAGUCCCUGGCUCAACUGGGGAAGUGCAUAUGAAACUGGUAGACUUGAGUACUGGAGGGGGAAGUGGAAUUCCCGGUGUAGAGGUGAAAUUCGUAGAUAUCGGGAGGAAUACCGGUGGCGAAGGCGACUUCCUGCCAGAUACUGACACUGAGGUGCGAAAGCGUGGGUAGCAAACAGGAUUAGAUACCCUGGUAGUCC